UAUAAAUUAGAAUAUAUACCGUAGACAGUGGGUGCCAAUUGGCGUAACGGGAUACCAACCUGCCGAGGUUUCAGAUAAGAAAUUUUGACCUCUCUACGUCUACGGAGAGGUCUUUCAUAUUUUAUGA
This is a non-coding RNA of Clostridium cylindrosporum DSM 605, 127 nucleotides long. The record is from Rfam. Lineage: Bacteria; Bacillati; Bacillota; Clostridia; Eubacteriales; Clostridiaceae.